Diorhabda carinulata is the source of this 596-nucleotide long non-coding RNA. RefSeq lists it as uncharacterized. The transcript has 2 exons. Lineage: Eukaryota; Metazoa; Arthropoda; Insecta; Coleoptera; Chrysomelidae. The record is from RefSeq and is a predicted model, not a curated record.
AACAACAGAAAUGAUGAAAUAACAUUAAAUAAACAAAAUUCGGAUUCUGCGUUUUUUUUUUUAAUAAAUAAGAUACAUCAAAACUGGAAAGUAAUAAAAAUAAAUCGUCUAAAAUCGGGGAUCAAUAAAUUCAUUUGAACCAAAUCGAAUUAAUUAGUGUGAUUAAGACAAUUCGCAACAAGUGAAAAUGAUUCUCAAACUUCUGACUGUUUUUCUUAUUCUAUUACUAUUUAGUAUCACAGACGCUAAAAAUAACGUACAAUUCGACAUCAAUGGAGACUAUAAGCAUAACGAAUACCACAAGUACACCCCAGAUUGUUGUCUUAUACCGUCAUGCGAUCGUGGAGGAUGUUUCAAUUCUAUAAAAUGUGGACAUAUUUGUUCUACGGCGAAUUAUCCUAAAGCCGUUGUCGAUAGGACACCGGGAUAUGUCAAAAAAUCUUAUUAUACCACUUACGAAUGUCAUUUUGGAGAAUGUAACCAUUUUCAAAUAUCCUGUGAUCAUUGUCCGGAUCCCAACGAAAGUGAUUUUAGUAUUUAUACUAUUAGAACGGACUGUAUUGAAUGUUAUCAAUAAAGUUUUUUUACAGACCGUA